AGUUUAGGAGCUAGGGUUCCUCUACGUCUUUGCUCAGUCUGCAACUAUGAGAGACUCCGGGAUCUCCUUUAAUACUCGCUCCCUUGAGCUGACGAGUAGGACUCUAUAACUCAGUAGGACUUCAGACUUAACUUGAACUUUCUAGAUUUCAGAGGCUUAUCUGAAGAGUCUUGGGAGAAUGGUUUAUAUACACAAGGAUCGGAGCCCAUCAUGACUUGCAUCUUGGGAUAUGCAAGAGAGUUUAGAGAUAAUUGUUUACACACCCACG
Molecule: long non-coding RNA, 268 nt
Filed under: Elaeis guineensis (African oil palm)
Lineage: Eukaryota; Viridiplantae; Streptophyta; Magnoliopsida; Arecales; Arecaceae
Description: long non-coding RNA (EGUI_LNC007347)
Source: RNAcentral